CCUUAACCGAGAAACUCCAGAAAAGGCGGUGACAUCAGCAAAAGGGAGCCAACUCCUUCCCCGUCUGCCGUUUUGUACUCUUGGCCUAACGUUGACUCAAAACAGCAACUUGGAGCCUUCCCUGACCUGUUGGCAUUCCUUUAUCAUCCAACUCCUGCUUCGGGAAAAUUUGUUUCUGUCUGUCUCCAAGAUACAAAAUCAAAAAGGUGUUUUAAUCCUGAGGAAGAGUGUGAGUCUGGGAAAAUUUUGGAUCACCGAGGUGCAGCCAUACCUUCCACAGCCAUCACUGUUGCUUACAACUCACAUGCCAAGAAUUGCAAGAUGAAGAUGGUGAUCAGGAGGCAUGACUUGGAAGAAGAGCCCAAGGACCGUAGCAAGGCCCUGAUUCUGGGAGACGAGAGAACACGCUGACUUAGAAUGCUUGUCUCUGCAUCCUGGUCAGAAAGUAGAUGGACGACACUUUCAUCUCCGACUGGAUUUUGGUGAGAGAUGGGCAAACCCCGGGCUCUAGGCUGGAGCAGCAGCUCUUGUAUCCACACAAAAUCAGGACUGGUGGAGGGAGCCAUCUUCAAACAUAAAUUUGUUGAACCUCUUGGCUGGGCCAGUACCCGAAAAGCCACACCGAAUAAUCUUGGGGAAUAGCUGUGCGACCAUCCUUUCCCAGCAUGCUCAGGAUUCUGCAAAUGUCCUCUGCCUUCUCUAAGGCCCCCAUCUCCCUUUCAGGGUUCUGUAGCGUGUGUUCAACUUCUGGCCUGUGUCUUUCACUGUGUCGGGGUAUUUUUAGGGGGAUAGAAUAGGGUGAGAAGCAACAGGAACUAUCAUGACUGGGGGGAAUAGGCAGGCCCAGUAUUAACGUGGCGUGUGUGUGUGUGUGUGUGUGUGUGUGUGUGUGUGUGUGUGUGUAUUUGUGUGAAUGUGUGCAUGUGUGUGUUUGUGUUUGUGCAUAGCACCUCAAGUGUAGGCAUCUUUAUUCCCAAGACAGCCCUUGCCAAAGACAGGGUCAAGUCACAUGCUCUUAGACCUGAUAAUUCUGCUUAUGUGAUUUUCACUUCAAAUGAUUUCCUGUUAGGCAUAAAGGUUUCUACUAAAGAAAAAUUUAAGGUCCUCACACAAGCCACUUCUGCUCCUCCACUUCUUAAAGAACCAAGUUAGAUUUUAGUGCAUUCAGCAUGGGGCAAAACAGUGUCUAUUAAUUAGACUUUCAUUUCUAUUGACAAUGGGGCCUACAGGCCUUGCACUGAGGUGGACACAGACCUUUUGUGGUGCCCUGUUGAUCCUGGUUCUGCUCGUGGAAAAUUAGGCCUGAUUGCCCUAUGAAGGCCCCUUCUCUAGUUUCCCUCUCUCACCUGCUAAGUCUCCAUUCUUCCUCUAACUGCUUUAAAUAGGUCAGCUGAGUUUCAUUCUUACAGUCAUCAGGCCUUUGGUGAAGGCAUCUGUGCUCUUGCUGAAGUCUGCAACAUUUCCCAACAUGCAGGCCAAGGGCCCUUCUCUUUCGGUCUGACCACUUGUCUGUUCAUGCAUGCAUGCUUUCAUUCAUUCAGAAAAUGUGUCAAGAAAAGAGCACAUGAUUUGGAGGCAGACGUAAUUCAGUGGUGUGCCGGAGUGGGAUAUUUCCAGCUUGCAAAAGCGGAUUGCUAAAUUUGUAAGUGUUUUGCAGCUGGUUUUUAAACAUAUAUUAAAAAUGAAAUUGUAGAAAAUUGCAAUUAAAUAAAUUAUAUCAAAAACAGAAAAUAAAUAC
RNAcentral lists this long non-coding RNA (1738 nucleotides) under Homo sapiens (human). RNAcentral's name for it is "HSALNT0360435". Lineage: Eukaryota; Metazoa; Chordata; Mammalia; Primates; Hominidae. The record is from RNAcentral.